GACGAACGCUGGCGGCAUGCCUAAUACAUGCAAGUCGAGCGAACAGAUGAAGUGCUUGCACUUCUGACGUUAGCGGCGAACGGGUGAGUAACACGUAAGGAAUCUACCUAUAAGCGGGGGAUAACAUUCGGAAACGGGUGCUAAUACCGCAUAAUAUCUUCUUCCGCAUGGAAGAAGAUUGAAAGACGGCUCUGCUGUCACUUAUAGAUGACCUUGCGGUGCAUUAGUUAGUUGGUGGGGUAAUGGCCUACCAAGACGAUGAUGCAUAGCCGACUGGGGAGGGUGAUGGGCCAAAUGGGGACUGAGACACGGCCCAAACUCCUACGGGAGGCAGCAGUAGGGAAUCUUCCGCAAUGGGCGAAAGCCUGACGGAGCAAUGCCGCGUGAGUGAAGAAGGCCUUCGGGUCGUAAAACUCUGUUAUAAGAGAAGAACAAAUUGUAGAGUAACUGCUACAGUCUUGACGGUAUCUUAUCAGAAAGCCACGGCUAACUACGUGCCAGCCGCCGCCGUAA
RNAcentral lists this ribosomal RNA (513 nucleotides) under uncultured bacterium. RNAcentral describes it as "partial 16S ribosomal RNA". It matches the Rfam family "Bacterial small subunit ribosomal RNA", at positions 28 to 523 of the family's 1533-position model. The record is from RNAcentral.